UGAGUACGAGAUGCUACGGCAUCGAAGCAGUCUAUGUCAUACUUCCAAGAAAAGCUUGCACUGUCAUAAACAAAGAAUGCCUGUACCAUAACCGACACAGGUGGGUAGGUAGAGUAUACUAAGGGGCGCGAGAUAACUCUCUCUAAGGAACUCGGCAAAAUGACUCCGUAACUUCGGGAGAAGGAGUGCCUUAUUUCUAAGGUUGCAAUAACAAGAUCCAAGCAACUGUUUACCAAAAACACAGGUCUCCGCUAAGUCGUAAGACGAUGUAUGGGGGCUGACGCCUGCCCAGUGCCAGAAGGUUAAAGAAGUUGGUUAGCAUUAGCGAAGCUGAUAACUGAAGCCCUGGUGAACGGCGGCCGUAACUAUAACGGUCCUAAGGUAGCGAAAUUCCUUGUCGGGUAAGUUCCGACCCGCACGAAAGGCGUAAUGAUUUGGAUACUGUCUCGGAGAGGGGCUCGGUGAAAUAGACUUGUCUGUGAAGAUGCGGACUACCUGCACCUGGACAGAAAGACCCUAUGAAGCUUUACUGUAACUUGAGAUUGAAAUUGGACUUUAUUUGCGCAGUAUAGGUGGGAGGCGUUGAGAAUAAUCUUGCGGGAUUGUUGGAGCCAUCAGUGAGAUACCACUCUUGUAAUGUUAGAUUUCUAACUUUGUAUCAUUAUCUGGUCAAAGAACAGUUUCAGGCGGGCAGUUUGACUGGGGCGGUCGCCUCCCAAAGGGUAACGGAGGCGCACAAAGGUUUCCUCUGAACGGGUAGAAAUCGUAUCUAGAGUGUAAAGGCAUAAGGAAGCUUGACUGUGAGACCUACAAGUCGAGCAGGGACGAAAGUCGGUCUUAGAGAUCUGACGGUGCUGAGUGGAAAGGCCGUCACUCAACGGAUAAAAGUUACUCUAGGAUAACAGGCGGAUCUCCCCCAAGAGUUCACAUCGACGGGGAGGUUUGGCACCUCGAUGUCGGCUCAUCGCAUCCUGGGGCGGUAGUCCGUCCCAAGGGUUGGGCUGUUCGCCCAUGAAAGCGGUACGCGAGCUGGGUUCAGAACGUCGUGAGACAGUUCGGUCCAUAUCCGGUGUAGGCGUUAGAAUAUUGAGAGGAGCCUUCUCUAGUACGAGAGGACCGAGAAGGACAUACCUCUGGUGUACCAGUUAUCGUGCCAACGGUAAACGCUGGGUAGCUAUGUAUGGAGUGGAUAACCGCUGAAAGCAUCUAAGUGGGAAGCCCACCUCAAGAUAAGUAUUCUU
This 1241-nucleotide ribosomal RNA is filed under the name metagenome. RNAcentral's name for it is "bacterial LSU rRNA". It matches the Rfam family "Bacterial large subunit ribosomal RNA", at positions 1564 to 2815 of the family's 2925-position model. The record is from RNAcentral.